GCGCUUAGCUCAGUUGGUAGAGCGUCUGCCUUACAAGCAGAAUGACGGCGGUUCGAUCCCGUCAGCGC
RNAcentral lists this transfer RNA (68 nucleotides) under Acinetobacter baumannii. RNAcentral's name for it is "tRNA-Val". It matches the Rfam family "tRNA". Rfam says of the family: Transfer RNA (tRNA) molecules are approximately 80 nucleotides in length. Their secondary structure includes four short double-helical elements and three loops (D, anti-codon, and T loops). Lineage: Bacteria; Pseudomonadati; Pseudomonadota; Gammaproteobacteria; Moraxellales; Moraxellaceae. The record is from RNAcentral.